AACGAACGCUGGCGGCAUGCCUAACACAUGCAAGUCGAACGAGACCUUCGGGUCUAGUGGCGCACGGGUGCGUAACGCGUGGGAACCUGCCCUUAGGUUUGGAAUAACUCCCCGAAAGGGGUGCUAAUACCGGAUAAUGUCUUCGGACCAAGGAUUUAUCGCCUUUGGAUGGGCCCGCGUUGGAUUAGCUAGUUGGUAGGGUAAAAGCCUACCAAGGCGACGAUCCAUAGCUGGUCUGAGAGGAUGAUCAGCCACGCUGGGACUGAGACACGGCCCAGACUCCUACGGGAGGCACGAGUGGGGGAUAUUGGACAGUGGGCGAAAGACUGAUCCAGCAAGGCCGCGUGAGUGAUGAAGGCCUUAGGGUUGUAAAGCUCUUUUAACCGGGAUGGUAAUGACAGUACCGGAAGAAUAAGCUCCGGCUAACUCCGUG
RNAcentral lists this ribosomal RNA (433 nucleotides) under uncultured bacterium. Its description in RNAcentral is "partial 16S ribosomal RNA". It matches the Rfam family "Bacterial small subunit ribosomal RNA", at positions 29 to 507 of the family's 1533-position model. The record is from RNAcentral.